Molecule: ribosomal RNA, 368 nt
Filed under: uncultured bacterium
Lineage: Bacteria
Description: bacterial SSU rRNA
Rfam family: Bacterial small subunit ribosomal RNA
Source: RNAcentral
AUUGAACGCUGGCGGCGUGGCUAAAGCAUGCAAGUCGAGCGAACCCGCAAGGGUGAGCGGCGGACGGGUUAGUAAUACGAUCGAACGUGCCCUGAGGCGGGGGAUAGGCGUGGGAAACUGCGCGUAAUACCCCAUGAUCUCUCCGGAGCAAAGGUUUACCACCUUGGGAUCGGCGAUCGUCCUAUCAGCUAGUUGGCGGGGUAAAGGCCCACCAAGGCUAUGACGGGUAGCAGGUGNGAGAGCACGACCUGCAACAUCGGACUGAGACACUGCCCGGACUCCUACGGGAGGCUGCAGCGACGAAUCUUCCGCAAUGGGCGCAAGCCUGACGGAGCGACGCCGCGUGUGGGAUGAAGCGCCUUCGGCGU